Molecule: long non-coding RNA, 68 nt
Organism: Egretta garzetta (little egret)
Lineage: Eukaryota; Metazoa; Chordata; Aves; Pelecaniformes; Ardeidae
Exons: 3
Source: RefSeq, a predicted model, not a curated record
GCUCCAGGUGUAUCAUCAGUGAUUCUCCUGACAAUGCAUCAGCCUACAAAAGAUUUGACUGCCUUAAC